This 326-nucleotide ribosomal RNA is filed under the name uncultured eukaryote. RNAcentral describes it as "partial 18S ribosomal RNA". It matches the Rfam family "Eukaryotic small subunit ribosomal RNA", at positions 1470 to 1796 of the family's 1831-position model. The record is from RNAcentral.
CCCUUAGAUGUUCUGGGCCGCACGCGCGCUACACUGAUGCAUUCAACAAGCCUAGCCUUGACCGAGAGGUCCGGGUAAUCUUUGAAACUGCAUCGUGAUGGGGCUAGAUUAUUGCAAUUAUUAAUCUUCACCGAGGAAUGCCUAGUAAGCGUGAUUCAUCAAAUCGCGUUGAUUACGUCCCUGCCCUUUGUACACACCGCCCGUCGCUCCUACCGAUUGAAUGUGUUGGUGAGGAGCUCGGAUUGGCAGCAGUUGGUGGUUCGCCACCGGCUAUUGCUGAGAAGUCCUCCAAACCGCCCCAUUUAGAGGAAGGAGAAGUCGUAACA